UGCGUAGGCGGUGCAGCAAGUCGGGUGUGAAAUCCCUCAGCUCAACUGAGGAAUUGCGCCCGAAACUGCUGUGCUAGAGGAAGACAGGGGUACGCGGAACUUAGGGUGGAGCGGUGAAAUGCGUUGAUAUCCUAAGGAACACCGGUGGCGUAAGCGGCGUACUGGGUCUUAUCUGACGCUGAGGCACGAAAGCUAGGGGAGGCAACGG
Molecule: ribosomal RNA, 208 nt
Filed under: uncultured bacterium
Lineage: Bacteria
Description: partial 16S ribosomal RNA
Rfam family: Bacterial small subunit ribosomal RNA
Source: RNAcentral